UAAUCUGCGAUAAGCGUCGGUAAGGUGAUAUGAACCGUUAUAACCGGCGAUUUCCGAAUGGGGAAACCCAGUGUGAUUCGUCACACUAUCAUUAACUGAAUCCAUAGGUUAAUGAGGCGAACCGGGGGAACUGAAACAUCUAAGUACCCCGAGGAAAAGAAAUCAACCGAGAUUCCCCCAGUAGCGGCGAGCGAACGGGGAGCAGCCCAGAGCCUGAAUCAGUGUGUGUGUUAGUGGAAGCGUCUGGAAAGGCGCGCGAUACAGGGUGACAGCCCCGUACACAAAAAUGCACAUACUGUGAGCUCGAUGAGUAGGGCGGGACACGUGGUAUCCUGUCUGAAUAUGGGGGGACCAUCCUCCAAGGCUAAAUACUCCUGACUGACCGAUAGUGAACCAGUACCGUGAGGGAAAGGCGAAAAGAACCCCGGCGAGGGGAGUGAAAAAGAACCUGAAACCGUGUACGUACAAGCAGUGGGAGCACAGAGCAAUCUGUGUGACUGCGUACCUUUUGUAUAAUGGGUCAGCGACUUAUAUUCUGUAGCAAGGUUAACCGAAUAGGGGAGCCGAAGGGAAACCGAGUCUUAACUGGGCGUUAAGUUGCAGGGUAUAGACCCGAAACCCGGUGAUCUAGCCAUGGGCAGGUUGAAGGUUGGGUAACACUAACUGGAGGACCGAACCGACUAAUGUUGAAAAAUUAGCGGAUGACUUGUGGCUGGGGGUGAAAGGCCAAUCAAACCGGGAGAUAGCUGGUUCUCCCCGAAAGCUAUUUAGGUAGCGCCUCGUGAAUUCAUCUCCGGGGGUAGAGCACUGUUUCGGCAAGGGGGUCAUCCCGACUUACCAACCCGAUGCAAACUGCGAAUACCGGAGAAUGUUAUCACGGGAGACACACGGCGGGUGCUAACGUCCGUCGUGAAGAGGGAAACAACCCAGACCGCCAGCUAAGGUCCCAAAGUCAUGGUUAAGUGGGAAACGAUGUGGGAAGGCCCAGACAGCCAGGAUGUUGGCUUAGAAGCAGCCAUCAUUUAAAGAAAGCGUAAUAGCUCACUGGUCGAGUCGGCCUGCGCGGAAGAUGUAACGGGGCUAAACCAUGCACCGAAGCUGCGGCAGCGACGCUUAUGCGUUGUUGGGUAGGGGAGCGUUCUGUAAGCCUGCGAAGGUGUGCUGUGAGGCAUGCUGGAGGUAUCAGAAGUGCGAAUGCUGACAUAAGUAACGAUAAAGCGGGUGAAAAGCCCGCUCGCCGGAAGACCAAGGGUUCCUGUCCAACGUUAAUCGGGGCAGGGUGAGUCGACCCCUAAGGCGAGGCCGAAAGGCGUAGUCGAUGGGAAACAGGUUAAUAUUCCUGUACUUGGUGUUACUGCGAAGGGGGGACGGAGAAGGCUAUGUUGGCCGGGCGACGGUUGUCCCGGUUUAAGCGUGUAGGCUGGUUUUCCAGGCAAAUCCGGAAAAUCAAGGCUGAGGCGUGAUGACGAGGCACUACGGUGCUGAAGCAACAAAUGCCCUGCUUCCAGGAAAAGCCUCUAAGCAUCAGGUAACAUCAAAUCGUACCCCAAACCGACACAGGUGGUCAGGUAGAGAAUACCAAGGCGCUUGAGAGAACUCGGGUGAAGGAACUAGGCAAAAUGGUGCCGUAACUUCGGGAGAAGGCACGCUGAUAUGUAGGUGAAGUCCCUCGCGGAUGGAGCUGAAAUCAGUCGAAGAUACCAGCUGGCUGCAACUGUUUAUUAAAAACACAGCACUGUGCAAACACGAAAGUGGACGUAUACGGUGUGACGCCUGCCCGGUGCCGGAAGGUUAAUUGAUGGGGUCAGCGCAAGCGAAGCUCUUGAUCGAAGCCCCGGUAAACGGCGGCCGUAACUAUAACGGUCCUAAGGUAGCGAAAUUCCUUGUCGGGUAAGUUCCGACCUGCACGAAUGGCGUAAUGAUGGCCAGGCUGUCUCCACCCGAGACUCAGUGAAAUUGAACUCGCUGUGAAGAUGCAGUGUACCCGCGGCAAGACGGAAAGACCCCGUGAACCUUUACUAUAGCUUGACACUGAACAUUGAGCCUUGAUGUGUAGGAUAGGUGGGAGGCUUUGAAGUGUGGACGCCAGUCUGCAUGGAGCCGACCUUGAAAUACCACCCUUUAAUGUUUGAUGUUCUAACGUGGACCCGUAAUCCGGGUUGCGGACAGUGUCUGGUGGGUAGUUUGACUGGGGCGGUCUCCUCCUAAAGAGUAACGGAGGAGCACGAAGGUUGGCUAAUCCUGGUCGGACAUCAGGAGGUUAGUGCAAUGGCAUAAGCCAGCUUGACUGCGAGCGUGACGGCGCGAGCAGGUGCGAAAGCAGGUCAUAGUGAUCCGGUGGUUCUGAAUGGAAGGGCCAUCGCUCAACGGAUAAAAGGUACUCCGGGGAUAACAGGCUGAUACCGCCCAAGAGUUCAUAUCGACGGCGGUGUUUGGCACCUCGAUGUCGGCUCAUCACAUCCUGGGGCUGAAGUAGGUCCCAAGGGUAUGGCUGUUCGCCAUUUAAAGUGGUACGCGAGCUGGGUUUAGAACGUCGUGAGACAGUUCGGUCCCUAUCUGCCGUGGGCGCUGGAGAAUUGAGGGGGGCUGCUCCUAGUACGAGAGGACCGGAGUGGACGCAUCACUGGUGUUCGGGUUGUCAUGCCAAUGGCACUGCCCGGUAGCUAAAUGCGGAAGAGAUAAGUGCUGAAAGCAUCUAAGCACGAAACUUGCCCCGAGAUGAGUUCUCCCUGACUCCUUGAGAGUCCUGAAGGAACGUUGAAGACGACGACGUUGAUAGGCCGGGUGUGUAAGCGCAGCGAUGCGUUGAGCUAACCGGUACUAAUGAACCGUGAGGCUUAACCUUACAACGCCGAAGCUGUU
This 2862-nucleotide ribosomal RNA is filed under the name Escherichia coli. RNAcentral's name for it is "bacterial LSU rRNA". It matches the Rfam family "Bacterial large subunit ribosomal RNA". The record is from RNAcentral. Lineage: Bacteria; Pseudomonadati; Pseudomonadota; Gammaproteobacteria; Enterobacterales; Enterobacteriaceae.